UCGGAUUUACUGGGCGUAAAGCGUGCGUAGGCGGCUGAUUAAGUCGGAUGUGAAAUCCCUGAGCUUAACUUAGGAAUUGCAUUCGAUACUGGUCAGCUAGAGUAUGGGAGAGGAUGGUAGAAUUCCAGGUGUAGCGGUGAAAUGCGUAGAGAUCUGGAGGAAUACCGAUGGCGAAGGCAGCCAUCUGGCCUAAUACUGACGCUGAGGUACGAAAGCAUGGGGAGCAAACAGGAUUAGAUACCCUGGUAGUCCAUGCCGUAAACGAUGUCUACUAGCCGUUGGGGCCUUUGAGGCUUUAGUGGCGCAGCUAACGCGAUAAGUAGACCGCCUGGGGAGUACGGUCGCAAGACUAAAACUCAAAUGAAUUGACGGGGGCCCGCACAAGCGGUGGAGCAUGUGGUUUAAUUCGAUGCAACGCGAAGAACCUUACCUGGUCUUGACAUAGUAAGAACUUUCCAGAGAUGGAUUGGUGCCUUCGGGAACUUACAUACAGGUGCUGCAUGGNUGUCGACAGCUCGUGUCGUGAGAUGUUGGGUUAAGUCCCGCAACGAGCGCAACCCUUUUCCUUAUUUGCCAGCACUUCGGGUGGGAACUUUAAGGAUACUGCCAGUGACAAACUGGAGGAAGGCGGGGACGACGUCAAGUCAUCAUGGCCCUUACGACCAGGGCUACACACGUGCUACAAUGGUCGGUACAAAGGGUUGCUACCUAGCGAUAGGAUGCUAAUCUCAAAAAGCCGAUCGUAGUCCGGAUUGGAGUCUGCAACUCGACUCCAUGAAGUCGGAAUCGCUAGUAAUCGCGGAUCAGAAUGCCGCGGUGAAUACGUUCCCGGGCCUUGUA
Molecule: ribosomal RNA, 840 nt
Filed under: Acinetobacter sp. 'SMCC B0472'
Lineage: Bacteria; Pseudomonadati; Pseudomonadota; Gammaproteobacteria; Moraxellales; Moraxellaceae
Description: bacterial SSU rRNA
Rfam family: Bacterial small subunit ribosomal RNA
Source: RNAcentral